RNAcentral lists this ribosomal RNA (1347 nucleotides) under uncultured bacterium. RNAcentral describes it as "bacterial SSU rRNA". It matches the Rfam family "Bacterial small subunit ribosomal RNA", at positions 28 to 1381 of the family's 1533-position model. The record is from RNAcentral.
GACGAACGCUGGCGGCGUGCUUAACACAUGCAAGUCGAACGGAAAGGCCCUGCUUUUGUGGGGUGCUCGAGUGGCGAACGGGUGAGUAACACGUGAGUAACCUGCCCUUGACUUUGGGAUAACUUCAGGAAACUGGGGCUAAUACCGGAUAGGAGCUCCUGCUGCAUGGUGGGGGUUGGAAAGUUUCGGCGGUUGGGGAUGGACUCGCGGCUUAUCAGCUUGUUGGUGGGGUAGUGGCUUACCAAGGCUUUGACGGGUAGCCGGCCUGAGAGGGUGGCCGGCCACAUUGGGACUGAGAUACGGCCCAGACUCCUACGGGAGGCAGCAGUGGGGAAUAUUGCACAAUGGGCGGAAGCCUGAUGCAGCAACGCCGCGUGCGGGAUGACGGCCUUCGGGUUGUAAACCGCUUUCGCCUGUGACGAAGCGUGAGUGACGGUAAUGGGUAAAGAAGCACCGGCUAACUACGUGCCAUCAGCCGCGGUGAUACGUAGGGUGCGAGCGUUGUCCGGAUUUAUUGGGCGUAAGGGGCUCGUAGGUGGUUGAUCGCGUCGGAAGUGUAAUCUUGGGGCUUAACCCUGAGCGUGCUUUCGAUACGGGUUGACUUGAGGAAGGUAGGGGAGAAUGGAAUUCCUGGUGGAGCGGUGGAAUGCGCAGAUAUCAGGAGGAACACCAGUGGCGAAGGCGGUUCUCUGGGCCUUUCCUGACGCUGAGGAGCGAAAGCGUGGGGAGCGAACAGGCUUAGAUACCCUUGGUAGUCCACGCUGUAAACGGUGGGUACUAGGUGUGGGGUCCAUUCCACGGGUUCCGUGCCGUAGCUAACGCUUUAAGUACCCCGCCUGGGGAGUACGGCCGCAAGGCUAAAACUCAAAGGAAUUGACGGGGCCCCGCACAAGCGGCGGAGCAUGCGGAUUAAUUCGAUGCAACGCGUAGAACCUUACCUGGGUUUGACAUGGAUCGGAAGCGCUCAGAGAUGGGUGUGCCUCUUUUGGGGUCGGUUCACAGGUGGUGCAUGGCUGUCGUCAGCUCGUGUCGUGAGAUGUUGGGUUAAGUCCCGCAACGAGCGCAACCCUUGUUCACUGUUGCCAGCACGUUAUGGUGGGGACUCAGUGGAGACCGCCGGGGUCAACUCGGAGGAAGGUGGGGAUGACGUCAAGUCAUCAUGCCCCUUAUGUCCAGGGCUUCACGCAUGCUACAAUGGCUGGUACAGAGAGUGGCGAGCCUGUGAGGGUGAGCGAAUCUCGGAAAGCCGGUCUCAGUUCGGAUUGGGGUCUGCAACUCGACCUCAUGAAGUCGGAGUCGCUAGUAAUCGCAGAUCAGCAACGCUGCGGUGAAUACGUUCCCGGGGCU